RNAcentral lists this ribosomal RNA (510 nucleotides) under uncultured bacterium. Its description in RNAcentral is "partial 16S ribosomal RNA". It matches the Rfam family "Bacterial small subunit ribosomal RNA", at positions 28 to 507 of the family's 1533-position model. The record is from RNAcentral.
GACGAACGCUGGCGGCGUGCUUAACACAUGCAAGUCGAACGAAGAGCGAUGGAAGCUUGCUUCUAUCAAUCUUAGUGGCGAACGGGUGAGUAACGCGUAAUCAACCUGCCCUUCAGAGGGGGACAACAGUUGGAAACGACUGCUAAUACCGCAUACGAUCUAAUCUCGGCAUCGAGGAUAGAUGAAAGGUGGCCUCUACAUGUAAGCUAUCACUGAAGGAGGGGAUUGCGUCUGAUCAGCUAGUUGGAGGGGUAACGGCCCACCAAGGCGAUGAUCAGUAGCCGGUCUGAGAGGAUGAACGGCCACAUUGGGACUGAGACACGGCCCAGACUCCUACGGGAGGCAGCAGUGGGGAAUCUUCCGCAAUGGACGAAAGUCUGACGGAGCAACGCCGCGUGAGUGAUGACGGCCUUCGGGUUGUAAAGCUCUGUUAAUCGGGACGAAAGGCCUUCUUGCGAAUAGUGAGAAGGAUUGACGGUACCGGAAUAGAAAGCCACGGCUAACUACGUG